Long non-coding RNA from Oncorhynchus nerka (sockeye salmon), 740 nucleotides. RefSeq lists it as uncharacterized. The transcript is spliced from 3 exons. NCBI's taxonomy places the organism in Eukaryota, Metazoa, Chordata, Actinopteri, Salmoniformes, Salmonidae. The record is from RefSeq and is a predicted model, not a curated record.
ACUGGUUGGUUGCUAGCUAGCUAGGACUCCGUUACACAAGGCGGGAGGCAGCGGUAACACUGGUUGCUAGCUAGCUAGGACUCCGUUACACAAGGCGGGAGGCAGCGGUAACACUGGUUGCUAGCUAGCUAGGACUCCGUUACACAAGGCGGGAGGCAGCGGUAACUGGUUGGUAGCUAGCUAGGACUCUGGUACACAAGGCGAGAGGCAGCCGUAACUGGUUGGUUGGUAGCUAGCUGGGACUCCGUUACACAAGGCGGGAGGCAGCGGUAACUGGUUGGUUGCUAGCUAGGACUCCGGUACACAAGGCGGGAGGCAGCGGUAACUGGUUGGUAGCUAGCUAGGACUCCAUUACACAAGGCGGGAGGCAGCGGUAACUGGUUGGUAGCUAGGACUCCGGUACACAAGGCGGGAGGCAGCGGUAACUGGUUGGUUGGUAGCUAGGACUCCGGUACACAAGGCGGGAGGCAGCGGUAACUGGUUGGUAGCUAGCUAGGACUCCGGUACACAAGGCGGGAGGCAGCGGUAACUGGUUGGUUGGUAGCUAGCUAGGACUCCGGUACACAAGGCGGGAGGCAGCGGUAACUGGUUGGUAGCUAGCUAGGACUCCGGUACACAAGGCGGGAGGCAGCGGUAACUGGUUGGUAGCUAGCUAGGACUCCAUUACACAAGGCGGGAGGCAGCGGUAACUGGUUGGUAGCUAGCUAGGACUCCAUUACACAAGGCGGGAGGCAGCGGUA